RNAcentral lists this small RNA (28 nucleotides) under Bombyx mori (domestic silkworm). Its description in RNAcentral is "ovarian small RNA-11979". The record is from RNAcentral. Lineage: Eukaryota; Metazoa; Arthropoda; Insecta; Lepidoptera; Bombycidae.
AGAUUGUUAUAGUCUAAGAAAAACACGC